This 498-nucleotide ribosomal RNA is filed under the name uncultured bacterium. RNAcentral's name for it is "partial 16S ribosomal RNA". It matches the Rfam family "Bacterial small subunit ribosomal RNA", at positions 28 to 507 of the family's 1533-position model. The record is from RNAcentral.
GACGAACGCUGGCGGCGUGCCUAAUACAUGCAAGUCGAACGAGAGCGACCGGUGCUUGCACUGGUCAAUCUAGUGGCGAACGGGUGAGUAACACGUGGGUAACCUGCCCAUCAGAGGGGGAUAACAUCCGGAAACGGAUGUUAAAACCGCAUAGGUCUUCGAACCGCAUGGUUUGAAGAGGAAAAGAGGCGCAAGCUUCUGCUGAUGGAUGGACCCGCGGUGCAUUAGCUAGUUGGUGAGGUAACGGCUCACCAAGGCCGUGAUGCAUAGCCGACCUGAGAGGGUGAUCGGCCACAUUGGGACUGAGACACGGCCCAAACUCCUACGGGAGGCAGCAGUAGGGAAUCUUCCGCAAUGGACGCAAGUCUGACGGAGCAACGCCGCGUGAGUGAAGAAGGUUUUCGGAUCGUAAAACUCUGUUGUUAGAGAAGAACAAGUGCUAGAGUAACUGUUAGCGCCUUGACGGUAUCUAACCAGAAAGCCACGGCUAACUACGUG